UAACGAAUCUGACAAAAGAAAGUGUCGCUCUGCCCUGUAAACCGAGGUAUUAAUUAUUAAAAUUGAUGACUAUUCAGGUUAGGAAAUCUGUUGAUGACAUAGAGGGACAUGAGAACACUUUUCCUGAGAGGAGGAGCAGGUCUGAAAGAGACACUGGUGGAGCAACUUUGCGUAUCAUUGUAGCGAUGUCCCAGAUGUAACUCCACUGUUGCGCAUCGAAUCGGUACUACGUUUGCGUGUACCGAGCCAUCACAAUGGAUCGAUCGCAGCAAUCCAGUUCCAGCACCGGCAGCA
Acromyrmex echinatior (Panamanian leafcutter ant) is the source of this 294-nucleotide long non-coding RNA. RefSeq lists it as uncharacterized. The record is from RefSeq and is a predicted model, not a curated record. Lineage: Eukaryota; Metazoa; Arthropoda; Insecta; Hymenoptera; Formicidae.